GAUCAUGCUCUGAGACCUGCUUGCUGGUCUGAGGGGGGUUUUUGCACAAUGCUGGAGGUGCUGCUCUCUCUCUGUGGCUCAGUCUGACUCUCAGGCCACUGACUCAAAACAAAACCCCUGUGCUCUGCCUUUGUGGUUUCCUCUGCACGCACCCCUUUCAUAGGUUACCUGGUCCCUCCAUCUCGGUCUCUCUCUCCUUCUUCCUUUCUCUCUCUCUCUCCCUCUCUCUCUCUCUCUCUCUCGUGUUUGUCUCCUCUGGUACUUCAGAGGGGGCAGAACUAUAUUUGCCCUUUUGAGAUAAUCAGUGAUUCAGUUUUGUUAUGAGGAAUAAUUCAUUCCUCAGCACUCUUAUCAGAGGGCCUAUCAGAAAUCCAUCUCAGACAGUUUGAAAGCUUUCUAAUCAUGGACGUUCUUUAGCCAUUUUUUUUUUCACUGAGCUAGCGAGCCAAUUUUAACAAGAUGUGAGCAAAUUUAAGUAAUAUACUGUAGACUGGGUGCAACGUCUUGAUUGCAAGUGUAACAAGUGUUUCAAUACUAAUACCGUUACUAGAAUGGAUAAAAUCAGGUAAGUAUGGACCAGAUCAGAAGACAACAGAUUUGACUCGAGAGAGAGAUGGUUUGCACAUCAAAAAUGAAGCACACGGAAGCAGGAUCUAUAUUUCAAAGGUCGAUCACAUGGGUGGCUCGCCAGUCCGCGCGCCGCUGUAGCUCUCCAGGGAAGGCAAGCAGGGGCAGAGGAAUCCAGGAUCCAGCACAGCAGUUCAAAUCGAACAACAAAAAACCAAUACACACAAAAAAAACCCGGCCUUGCAACACAAAGCCAGAAGACUCAUCAGUAGUCUGUACACUCUGUUAAAUAAACUUGGUGAAAGCCCA
Molecule: long non-coding RNA, 876 nt
Organism: Anguilla anguilla (European eel)
Lineage: Eukaryota; Metazoa; Chordata; Actinopteri; Anguilliformes; Anguillidae
Exons: 2
Source: RefSeq, a predicted model, not a curated record